GAUGAACGCUGGCGGCGUGCCUAAUACAUGCAAGUCGAGCGAACAGAUAAGGAGCUUGCUCCUUUGAAGUUAGCGGCGGACGGGUGAGUAACACGUGGGUAACCUACCUAUAAGACUGGGAUAACUUCGGGAAACCGGAGCUAAUACCGGAUAACAUUUAGAACCGCAUGGUUCUAAAGUGAAAGAUGGUUUUGCUAUCACUUAUAGAUGGACCCGCGCCGUAUUAGCUAGUUGGUAAGGUAACGGCUUACCAAGGCGACGAUACGUAGCCGACCUGAGAGGGUGACAGGCGACAGUGGAAGUGAGACACGGUCCAGAAGCGGAAGGGAGGGAGCAGGAGGGAGGUGGAAGAAAGGGGAGAAAGUCUGACGGAGAAAAGACGCGUGAGAGAUGAAGGUAUUAGGAGAGUAAAACUCCGUUAUUAGGGAAGAACAAAUGGGGAAGGAAAUAGGCACGUAUUGACGGGACCUAAUAAGAAAGAAACGGAGAACUACGUG
Molecule: ribosomal RNA, 497 nt
Filed under: uncultured bacterium
Lineage: Bacteria
Description: partial 16S ribosomal RNA
Rfam family: Bacterial small subunit ribosomal RNA
Source: RNAcentral